GAUGAACGCUGGCGGCGUGCCUAAUACAUGCAAGUCGAGCGAACCACUUCGGUGGUGAGCGGCGAACGGGUGAGUAACACGUAGGUAACCUGCCCCUUAGACUGGGAUAACUCCGGGAAACCGGAGCUAAUACGGGAUAAUAAAGAGAAUCACCUGAUUUUCUUUUGAAAGACGGUUUCGGCUGUCACUAAGGGAUGGGCCUGCGGCGCAUUAGCUAGUUGGUAAGGUAACGGCUUACCAAGGCGACGAUGCGUAGCCGACCUGAGAGGGUGAUCGGCCACACUGGGACUGAGACACGGCCCAGACUCCUACGGGAGGCAGCAGUAGGGAAUCUUCCGCAAUGGACGAAAGUCUGACGGAGCAACGCCGCGUGAGUGAGGAAGGCCUUCGGGUCGUAAAGCUCUGUUGUGAGGGAAGAACAAGUACCGGGGUAACUACCGGUACCUUGACGGUACCUCACCAGAAAGCCACGGCUAACUACGUGCCAGCAGCCGCAGUAA
RNAcentral lists this ribosomal RNA (500 nucleotides) under uncultured bacterium. RNAcentral describes it as "partial 16S ribosomal RNA". It matches the Rfam family "Bacterial small subunit ribosomal RNA", at positions 28 to 523 of the family's 1533-position model. The record is from RNAcentral.